This 30-nucleotide non-coding RNA is filed under the name Mus musculus (house mouse). The record is from RNAcentral. Lineage: Eukaryota; Metazoa; Chordata; Mammalia; Rodentia; Muridae.
UNCAAGACAGGGUCUUUCUCAUAGGUGAUG